Molecule: ribosomal RNA, 325 nt
Filed under: uncultured eukaryote
Lineage: Eukaryota
Description: partial 18S ribosomal RNA
Rfam family: Eukaryotic small subunit ribosomal RNA
Source: RNAcentral
CCCUUAGAUGUUCUGGGCUGCACGCGCGCUACACUGAUGCGCUCAACGAGUUUACGACCUUGCCUGGAAAGGUUGGGUAAUCUUCUUAAAACGCAUCGUGAUGGGGAUAGAUUAUUGCAAUUAUUAAUCUUCAACGAGGAAUUCCUAGUAAGCGCGAGUCAUCAGCUCGUGCUGAUUACGUCCCUGCCCUUUGUACACACCGCCCGUCGCUCCUACCGAUCGAAGAGUUAGGUGAAUUGUUUUGAUCGAUAAGAUUUGACUAUGGUCAACUCUCGUUGUGAAAUUCUGUGAAUCUGACUGUUUAGAGGAAGGAAAAGUCGUAACA